GAGGGAUCAUUACUGAGUUUACGCUCUAUAACCCUUUGUGAACAUACCUAUAACUGUUGCUUCGGCGGGUAGGGUCUCCGCGACCCUCCCGGCCUCCCGCCUCCGGGCGGGUCGGCGCCCGCCGGAGGAUAACCAAACUCUGAUUUAACGACGUUUCUUCUGAGUGGUACAAGCAAAUAAUCAAAACUUUUAACAACGGAUCUCUUGGUUCUGGCAUCGAUGAAGAACGCAGCGAAAUGCGAUAAGUAAUGUGAAUUGCAGAAUUCAGUGAAUCAUCGAAUCUUUGAACGCACAUUGCGCCCGCCAGCAUUCUGGCGGGCAUGCCUGUUCGAGCGUCAUUUCAACCCUCAAGCUCUGCUUGGUGUUGGGGCCCUACAGCUGAUGUAGGCCCUCAAAGGUAGUGGCGGACCCUCCCGGAGCCUCCUUUGCGUAGUAACUUUACGUCUCGCACUGGGAUCCGGAGGGACUCUUGCCGUAAAACCCCCC
This 486-nucleotide ribosomal RNA is filed under the name Colletotrichum sp. E8608g. RNAcentral's name for it is "eukaryotic LSU rRNA". The stretch from base 185 to 338 matches the Rfam family "5.8S ribosomal RNA". Lineage: Eukaryota; Fungi; Ascomycota; Sordariomycetes; Glomerellales; Glomerellaceae. The record is from RNAcentral.